AGAAAAGCUUCUAAGCUUCAGGUAACCAGGAACCGUACCCCAAACCGACACAGGUGGUUGGGUAGAGAAUACCAAGGCGCUUGAGAGAACUUGGGUGAAGGAACUAGGCAAAAUGGCACCGUAACUUCGGGAGAAGGUGCGCCGGUGAGGGUGAAGGACUUGCUCCGUAAGCUCAUGCCGGUCGAAGAUACCAGGGCGCUGCGACUGUUUAUUAAAAACACAGCACUCUGCAAACACGAAAGUGGACGUAUAGGGUGUGACGCCUGCCCGGUGCCGGAAGGUUAAUUGAUGGGGUUAGCGUAAGCGAAGCUCUUGAUAG
Molecule: ribosomal RNA, 319 nt
Filed under: Ditylum brightwellii
Lineage: Eukaryota; Bacillariophyta; Thalassiosirophyceae; Lithodesmiales; Lithodesmiaceae
Description: partial Bacterial large subunit ribosomal RNA
Rfam family: Bacterial large subunit ribosomal RNA
Source: RNAcentral